Molecule: ribosomal RNA, 429 nt
Filed under: Acidobacteriota bacterium
Lineage: Bacteria; Pseudomonadati; Acidobacteriota
Description: Acidobacteria bacterium partial 16S ribosomal RNA
Rfam family: Bacterial small subunit ribosomal RNA
Source: RNAcentral
UGGGGAAUUUUGGACAAUGGGGGAAACCCUGAUCCAGCCAUCCCGCGUGUGCGAUGAAGGCCUUCGGGUUGUAAAGCACUUUUGGCAGGAAAGAAACGUCAUGGGUUAAUACCCCGUGAAACUGACGGUACCUGCAGAAUAAGCACCGGCUAACUACGUGCCAGCAGCCGCGGUAAUACGUAGGGUGCAAGCGUUAAUCGGAAUUACUGGGCGUAAAGCGUGCGCAGGCGGUUCGGAAAGAAAGAUGUGAAAUCCCAGAGCUCAACUUUGGAACUGCAUUUUUAACUACCGGGCUAGAGUGUGUCAGAGGGAGGUGGAAUUCCGCGUGUAGCAGUGAAAUGCGUAGAUAUGCGGAGGAACACCGAUGGCGAAGGCAGCCUCCUGGGAUGACACUGACGCUCAUGCACGAAAGCGUGGGGAGCAAACAGG